This is a long non-coding RNA of Beta vulgaris subsp. vulgaris (sugar beet), 430 nucleotides long. RefSeq lists it as uncharacterized. NCBI's taxonomy places the organism in Eukaryota, Viridiplantae, Streptophyta, Magnoliopsida, Caryophyllales, Amaranthaceae. The record is from RefSeq and is a predicted model, not a curated record. The transcript has 2 exons.
CCAAUAGUCUGAAAAAUACACCAAAAUGUUGCAUCACAAAGUAUAGAAUAGAGAUCAUUAAUAGGUAAUUAAAUAGCAUAACAAAAUGAUUUGAUCAAGACAUACUAAGAACAUUAGUCAUUUAUUGGGUGUGAAAUGUAUGCUGGGUAUUGUUCACAAGCCAAAGGACGCAAGAAAUCAAAGACUACACAUCAUUGUAUUACAAGGUCAAUCACUCGUUAUAAUCACGCAUAAUUCCUUAGGCAAAUAGCAGGGCAAACAAGGCUAAGGCAAGCACCAUUUAUUUGAUGUUGAGAAGACAUCAAGCAAACUAACAAAGAAGAAUAAUACAACAAACAAGGUUAGGUUAUAUGCAAUUGCAUGUGAUAAGAUUUUUGUAACUUCUCAUUGGCUUCAUGUGUUUCAAAAUUCAUUUCUUAAAAUUAAACCU